This 200-nucleotide ribosomal RNA is filed under the name uncultured bacterium. Its description in RNAcentral is "partial 16S ribosomal RNA". It matches the Rfam family "Bacterial small subunit ribosomal RNA", at positions 1302 to 1500 of the family's 1533-position model. The record is from RNAcentral.
AGGCUGCAACUCGCCUACACGAAGCUGGAAUCGCUAGUAUCGCGGAUCAGCACGCCGCGGUGAAUACGUUCCCGGGCCUUGUACACACCGCCCGUCACACCAUGAGAGUCUGUAACACCCAAAGCCGGUGGGAUAACCUUUAUAGGAGUCAGCCGUCUAAGGUAGGACAGAUGAUUAGGGUGAAGUCGUAACAAGGUACC